RNAcentral lists this ribosomal RNA (460 nucleotides) under uncultured bacterium. Its description in RNAcentral is "partial 16S ribosomal RNA". It matches the Rfam family "Bacterial small subunit ribosomal RNA", at positions 338 to 795 of the family's 1533-position model. The record is from RNAcentral.
CCUACGAGUGGCAGCAGUGAGGAAUAUUGGUCAAUGGACGAGAGUCUGAACCAGCCAAGUAGCGUGAAGGAUGACUGCCCUAUGGGUUGUAAACUUCUUUUAUAUGGGAAUAAAAUGUUCCACGUGUGGGAUUUUGUAUGUACCAUAUGAAUAAGGAUCGGCUAACUCCGUGCCAGCAGCCGCGGUAAUACGGAGGAUCCGAGCGUUAUCCGGAUUUAUUGGGUUUAAAGGGUGCGUAGGUGGAUUGAUAAGUUAGUUGUGAAAGGUUGCGGCUCAACCGUGAAACUGCAUAUAAUACUGGCAGACUAGAGUACAGUAGAGGUAGGCGGAAUGCGUGGUGUAGCGGUGAAAUGCUUAGAGAUCACACAGAACACCGAUUGCGAAGGCAGCUCACUAAACUGCAACUGACACUGAGGCUCGAAAGUGUGGGUAGCAAACAGGAUUAGAUACCCUUGUAGUC